UGCUAGGAUGGGAGGGAAAGGGUGGAGGAAGGGAAUUUAUAAAAGCUCUACUUUGGUUCGGGGAAAAAAAAAAGGUUUGAAAAUAACGAGAUGCGGAAUAUCCGAGAGGGGCUGCGACUAGGCUCUCUGGGCCUGAGAAUGAAGGCUAUUUCUACUCUCACGCAGGUAAGGAGAAUAGAAAGAGUCCCGAAAAAAGCCGCCUCCGAAACCGACCGACCAACCAGCCCGGACCUUGGGGCGGAUUGGAUUUUAAAGAGGCAGCCAUCUCUUUUCGCCCGUUUGUGGAUAGGGAUGGUUGGUUGGUUUCUGCUGCUGGAAGCUACGUUUUGUCCUCUCGACCUAGAGGAAAAAAUGAAGCCCUAAGGAAGAUGAGAAAUAAGCAUCUUCGCCCUGUGCCGCUGUGAUUCGGGGAGAUGUCUUGUCCUGGACCAAGCCUUUCCAGAAAUUCCCCGACUCGCUGCAUUGCGGUAAGGCAGGAGAGGGGAAGAGGCGGGGGGCGGGAGCAGGGAGGGGGGGCCGGGCGGGAGAGAUGGACACCACCUGGAGGGAAAUACCCCCUCCCAGAAAUAGCCGGUCCUUCCGUGGCUGAUUCUUGCCAGUCUCCGUGGUCAAUCACUGGAUGGGGAGGCGACAGGAAAGACAGGCCAAGAGUCUCAAGCAGUGCCUACCAUCACCUCAAGGACGAGAAUGUAGCCAGCGUGCCCGAGAUAAUGACGUUCAGAAGUGGACUGCAGCGGAUCGUGGGUUGAUCAGGAAAUCUACACCAAGAGUUCCCACCUCCGGAAUUUCUCACCGCAGGAUUGGCAGAGCUGGAGAAUCUGCUGGUUUUUAGAUCAUCAUCCACGCGUUCUCUUUCAGGCUUUCACUUCACGCGGGGAGGUGUUAACCUGCGGACCCAGAAUCUUCCCGGGUUUCCUCUAGACUGCAGUUUUCUUGUGGGCGGGGAUCACGCCAACCAACUCCAAUGUAUUGUACUCUCCUAAGCGCUUAGUACAGUAUUUUGCACACGGUAACCACUCAAUAAAUACUAUUGAUUGAUUUAACAUCGGGUAUGACUGAAAACAAUGCAAGCUGCCUACCUGUCUGCUCAAGUGGUGCCUAAGAACACCAAAUACUUUGGACCUAUCGACUUCCUCCUUAUGCUGAUCGAGAAGUUCCACGAGUUUGUGUCUUGUGAAUAUGACUGCAUUAUCAUCAGUGUUAACUGGAUGGAUUGGACACAUUCUUUUCAGAACCUUUCCCCUUCGGUUCAUAAUCGUAUUAUUACCAGUAUUGGCUGAGUGAACGGGACCCAGUACUGUUAGAAGUUUCCCCCCUCGGCUUCAGCUCUACGUUUGCAACGUAAAAAUUAAACGGGAACUUCGAGUGCCAGAAACCACGAAUGAACUGUGCAUCCAAAGGGGGCGGCGGGGCGGUAAGGAAGAAAAAGAGAGAAAGGGAGAGAGAGAGAGGGAGAGGGAGAGAAAGGGAGGGAGAGAGAGCACAAGCGAACGAAAUGUCCAUUUAAAUCACGCAACGCUAGGGACCAUCUAGUGUUGAUUUAGAAGCAUCACCUCGUUUUGAGCUCAAGUGCCUCAGAAAGGCUGGAAUGCCAGUCACUCACAGUGCCUACAUAGUUUCCA
This 1622-nucleotide long non-coding RNA is filed under the name Ornithorhynchus anatinus (platypus). RNAcentral describes it as "lncRNA (ENSOANG00000038013.1)". Lineage: Eukaryota; Metazoa; Chordata; Mammalia; Monotremata; Ornithorhynchidae. The record is from RNAcentral.